CGCCAGACUCCUACGGGAGGCAGCAGUGGGGAAUAUUGCACAAUGGGGGAAACCCUGAUGCAGCGACGCCGCGUGAGUGAAGAAGUAUUUCGGUAUGUAAAGCUCUAUCAGCAGGAACGAGACAAGACGGUACCUGACUAAGAAGCCCCGGCUAACUACGUGCCAGCAGCCGCGGUAAUACGUAGGGGGCAAGCGUUAUCCGGAAUCACUGGGUGUAAAGGGAGCGUAGACGGCUGAGCAAGCCUGAAGUGAAAGGCGGGGGCCCAACCCCGGGACUGCUCUUGGAACUGCAUGGCUGGAGUACAGGAGGGGCAGGCGGAAUUCCUAGUGUAGCGGUGAAAUGCGUAGAUAUUAGGAGGAACACCGGUGGCGAAGGCGGCCUGCUGGACUGUGACUGACGUUGAGGCCCGAAGGCGUGGGGAGCAAACAGGAUUAGAUACCCGCGUAC
RNAcentral lists this ribosomal RNA (448 nucleotides) under uncultured bacterium. Its description in RNAcentral is "bacterial SSU rRNA". It matches the Rfam family "Bacterial small subunit ribosomal RNA", at positions 329 to 793 of the family's 1533-position model. The record is from RNAcentral.